GUAUUUUGAAUUGUUUUAUUCAUAAUAUUUUUCAGACAAAGAGUUGAGAUAUAGUUGAUGUUUGGGGCUGAUCCUCUCGAGAGAAAAAUCAACCCUGACAUUGCACACAAGGUGGAUAUGGAUUUUUAAAGAGUGCCAUAAAACACUCAUUGUGAAUGAUCCUUCCGCAGGUUCACCUACGGAAA
Molecule: unclassified non-coding RNA, 185 nt
Filed under: uncultured fungus
Lineage: Eukaryota; Fungi
Description: sequence contains ITS1
Source: RNAcentral